CGGCAGGCUUAACACAUGCAAGUCGAGGGGCAUCGGGGAGGAAGCUUGCUUUCUCCGCCGGCGACCGGCGCACGGGUGAGUAACACGUAUGCAACCUGCCCCUGUCAGGGGGACAACCCGCCGAAAGGCGGGCUAAACCCGCGUACAUGCCACCGGGGCAUCCCGGAGGCAGGAAAGGCUUCGGCCGGACAGGGAUGGGCAUGCGGCGCAUUAGGCAGUAGGCGGGGUAACGGCCCACCUAACCGACGAUGCGUAGGGGUUCUGAGAGGAAGGUCCCCCACACUGGUACUGAGACACGGACCAGACUCCUACGGGAGGCAGCAGUGAGGAAUAUUGGUCAAUGGUCGGGAGACUGAACCAGCCAAGCCGCGUGAGGGAGGAAGGUACAGAGUAUCGUAAACCUCUUUUGUCAGGGAACAAAGGCGGGGACGUGUCCCCGGAUGAGUGUACCUGAAGAAAAAGCAUCGGCUAACUCCGUGCCAGCAGCCGCGGUAAUACGGAGGAUGCGAGCGUUAUCCGGAUUUAUUGGGUUUAAAGGGUGCGCAGGCGGUCUGUUAAGUCAGCGGUCAAAGCCCGGGGCUCAACCCCGGCCCGCCGUUGAAACUGGCAGUCUCGAGUUGGAGAGAAGUAUGCGGAAUGCGCGGUGUAGCGGUGAAAUGCAUAGAUAUCGCGCAGAACUCCGAUUGCGAAGGCAGCAUGCCGGCUCCACACUGACGCUGAGGCACGAAAGCGUGGGUAUCGAACAGGAUUAGAUACCCUGGUAGUCCACGCAGUAAACGAUGAAUGCUGGCUGUCCGGGGGGAUUGACCCCUGGGUGGCGAAGCGAAAGCGAUAAGCAUUCCACCUGGGGAGUACGCCGGCAACGGUGAAACUCAAAGGAAUUGACGGGGGCCCGCACAAGCGGAGGAACAUGUGGUUUAAUUCGAUGAUACGCGAGGAACCUUACCCGGGCUCAAACGGGGAGUGACUCAGGCAGAGACGCCUGUUUCCCACGGGACACUCCCCGAGGUGCUGCAUGGUUGUCGUCAGCUCGUGCCGUGAGGUGUCGGCUUAAGUGCCAUAACGAGCGCAACCCCCGCGUGCAGUUGCUAACAGAUAACGCUGAGGACUCUGCACGGACUGCCGGCGCAAGCCGCGAGGAAGGCGGGGAUGACGUCAAAUCAGCACGGCCCUUACGUCCGGGGCGACACACGUGUUACAAUGGGUGGUACAGCGGGAAGCCAGGCGGCGACGCCGAGCGGAACCCGAAAUCCACUCUCAGUUCGGAUCGGAGUCUGCAACCCGACUCCGUGAAGCUGGAUUCGCUAGUAAUCGCGCAUCAGCCAUGGCGCGGUGAAUACGUUCCCGGGC
Molecule: ribosomal RNA, 1350 nt
Filed under: uncultured bacterium
Lineage: Bacteria
Description: partial 16S ribosomal RNA
Rfam family: Bacterial small subunit ribosomal RNA
Source: RNAcentral